Molecule: ribosomal RNA, 479 nt
Filed under: uncultured bacterium
Lineage: Bacteria
Description: partial 16S ribosomal RNA
Rfam family: Bacterial small subunit ribosomal RNA
Source: RNAcentral
GAUGAACGCUAGCGGGAGGCCUAACACAUGCAAGCCGAGCGGUAGAGUCUCUUCGGAGACUUGAGAGCGGCGCACGGGUGCGGAACACGUGUGCAACCUGCCUUUAUCUGGGGGAUAGCCUUUCGAAAGGAAGAUUAAUACCCCAUAAUAUACUGGAUGGCAUCAUCUGGUAUUGAAAACUCCGGUGGAUAGAGAUGGGCACGCGCAAGAUUAGAUAGUUGGUGAGGUAACGGCUCACCAAGUCAGCGAUCUUUAGGGGGCCUGAGAGGGUAAUCCCCCACACUGGUACUGAGACACGGACCAGACUCCUACGGGAGGCAGCAGUGAGGAAUAUUGGACAAUGGGUGAGAGCCUGAUCCAGCCAUCCCGCGUGAAGGACGACGGCCCUAUGGGUUGUAAACUUCUUUUGUAUAGGGAUAAACCUAGAUACGUGUAUCUAGCUGAAGGUACUAUACGAAUAAGCACCGGCUAACUCCGUG